RNAcentral lists this long non-coding RNA (1091 nucleotides) under Nicotiana tabacum (common tobacco). RNAcentral describes it as "long non-coding RNA (NTAB_LNC000710)". Lineage: Eukaryota; Viridiplantae; Streptophyta; Magnoliopsida; Solanales; Solanaceae. The record is from RNAcentral.
UGGAAUGAGACAUCAACCUAUGUUUAGCCAAUCAGGCUCAAAAUGUCAAGAAUUGAUGUAAGGUAGGACCUUAUUGUAUGGUUUCUUUUGGUAGCUAUCUUUAUGGAUCUUUUAGGAAGUUUUGAUUAGGAUAUAGAGGGAUUGUCGACUCUUCUUUUCCUCUGCAACUUGUCAAAUUAUUGCUUAUGGAAUGGCUUUACAAUCACCAUAUUCAACCCUUCUAUAUUAUGUGGUUGGCAUGCAGCAGCCUUCUUGAUUGUGUAUUAACAGUAAAAUGAUUCAAUUUUUGAUAAUCAGAAAGCUAACAUCGAGAGAAAAGUUAAGGCAGUAACCCAUUAAUAAAAACAACAAAAAAAGAUCCUUUAUUAUAAUAAAAAACUAGAGAUCAAAUCUCAUAUCAUCUUAAUCAAACCAUAGCAAACUGACCCUGGACAAGAUAACAAACAUAGCCAAAAAAACUAUGGAUCAUCCCACCCGACCACCUAGACCUAGGCAUAUGCUAAAAACAACAUAUGCCCUCACUUUAACCAUAAUAAUAUAGUAGUAAUAAUAGUAGUAAAUAAAAUACUAAGAAACAGAAUAAACACAACCAACUUUAAUAAGACCCCCAUCUUUCACCAACCAUUGAACUAUUUCCCAUAUUCACUAAAAUUCUUCAGAAUUUACUCUUCAGCUUUCUCCACUGGAACUGCUUUCUCUUCAACAGAUUCUGCUGCUGCUACUGGUUCCUCAGCUGCUGCAUCUGUGGUUUUCUCAGCCACUGCUUCUUCAGUUACUGGAGCUGAUUCAUCUGCUACAGGGACAGCUUUCUCUGUUUCUGGUUCCUCGACAGGGGCUGCUUCGAGUUCAGCCUCCGCGACAGGGGCUGCAACCUCUUCAACAGGAGCCGCAACUGGUUCCUCAGCUGCUGGCUCCUCUGUUUCUAUGGCUGCAGGUUCUGCUGCAGCCACAGGUUCUUCAGCAGCAGGGGCUGCUUCCUCAGCGGGAGCAGGCUCUUCUACUGGUGCUGCUGCUGAUUCGACGACGGAUUCGCUUUCUACAACUGGGGUUGGUUCCUCUACUUUGGUUUCCUCUGGGGUUGUUUUUACCUC